This 560-nucleotide ribosomal RNA is filed under the name Acinetobacter sp. 50. Its description in RNAcentral is "bacterial SSU rRNA". It matches the Rfam family "Bacterial small subunit ribosomal RNA", at positions 9 to 563 of the family's 1533-position model. The record is from RNAcentral. Lineage: Bacteria; Pseudomonadati; Pseudomonadota; Gammaproteobacteria; Moraxellales; Moraxellaceae.
GAGUUUGAUCAUGGCUCAGAUUGAACGCUGGCGGCAGGCUUAACACAUGCAAGUCGAGCGGGGAAGGGUAGCUUGCUACCUGACCUAGCGGCGGACGGGUGAGUAAUGCUUAGGAAUCUGCCUAUUAGUGGGGGACAACAUUCCGAAAGGAAUGCUAAUACCGCAUACGCCCUACGGGGGAAAGCAGGGGAUCUUCGGACCUUGCGCUAAUAGAUGAGCCUAAGUCAGAUUAGCUAGUUGGUGGGGUAAAGGCCUACCAAGGCGACGAUCUGUAGCGGGUCUGAGAGGAUGAUCCGCCACACUGGGACUGAGACACGGCCCAGACUCCUACGGGAGGCAGCAGUGGGGAAUAUUGGACAAUGGGCGAAAGCCUGAUCCAGCCAUGCCGCGUGUGUGAAGAAGGCCUUUUGGUUGUAAAGCACUUUAAGCGAGGAGGAGGCUACUUGGAUUAAUACUCUAGGAUAGUGGACGUUACUCGCAGAAUAAGCACCGGCUAACUCUGUGCCAGCAGCCGCGGUAAUACAGAGGGUGCGAGCGUUAAUCGGAUUUACUGGGCGUAA